Molecule: ribosomal RNA, 1605 nt
Filed under: Salmonella enterica subsp. enterica serovar Muenchen
Lineage: Bacteria; Pseudomonadati; Pseudomonadota; Gammaproteobacteria; Enterobacterales; Enterobacteriaceae
Also listed under: 2 other names
Description: bacterial LSU rRNA
Rfam family: Bacterial large subunit ribosomal RNA
Source: RNAcentral
UGGGUAGGGGAGCGUUCUGUAAGCCUGUGAAGGUGGCCUGUGAGGGUUGCUGGAGGUAUCAGAAGUGCGAAUGCUGACAUAAGUAACGAUAAAGCGGGUGAAAAGCCCGCUCGCCGGAAGACCAAGGGUUCCUGUCCAACGUUAAUCGGGGCAGGGUGAGUCGACCCCUAAGGCGAGGCCGAAAGGCGUAGUCGAUGGGAAACGGGUUAAUAUUCCCGUACUUGGUGUUACUGCGAAGGGGGGACGGAGAAGGCUAUGUUGGCCGGGCGACGGUUGUCCCGGUUUAAGCGUGUAGGUGUGUGUUCCAGGUAAAUCCGGUUCACUUUAACACUGAGGCGUGAUGACGAGGCACUACGGUGCUGAAGCAACAAAUGCCCUGCUUCCAGGAAAAGCCUCUAAGCAUCAGGUAACAUCAAAUCGUACCCCAAACCGACACAGGUGGUCAGGUAGAGAAUACCAAGGCGCUUGAGAGAACUCGGGUGAAGGAACUAGGCAAAAUGGUGCCGUAACUUCGGGAGAAGGCACGCUGACACGUAGGUGAAGUGAUUUACUCAUGGAGCUGAAGUCAGUCGAAGAUACCAGCUGGCUGCAACUGUUUAUUAAAAACACAGCACUGUGCAAACACGAAAGUGGACGUAUACGGUGUGACGCCUGCCCGGUGCCGGAAGGUUAAUUGAUGGGGUCAGCGCAAGCGAAGCUCCUGAUCGAAGCCCCGGUAAACGGCGGCCGUAACUAUAACGGUCCUAAGGUAGCGAAAUUCCUUGUCGGGUAAGUUCCGACCUGCACGAAUGGCGUAAUGAUGGCCAGGCUGUCUCCACCCGAGACUCAGUGAAAUUGAACUCGCUGUGAAGAUGCAGUGUACCCGCGGCAAGACGGAAAGACCCCGUGAACCUUUACUAUAGCUUGACACUGAACAUUGAGCCUUGAUGUGUAGGAUAGGUGGGAGGCUUUGAAGCGUGGACGCCAGUCUGCGUGGAGCCGACCUUGAAAUACCACCCUUUAAUGUUUGAUGUUCUAACGUGGACCCGUAAUCCGGGUUGCGGACAGUGUCUGGUGGGUAGUUUGACUGGGGCGGUCUCCUCCUAAAGAGUAACGGAGGAGCACGAAGGUUGGCUAAUCCUGGUCGGACAUCAGGAGGUUAGUGCAAUGGCAUAAGCCAGCUUGACUGCGAGCGUGACGGCGCGAGCAGGUGCGAAAGCAGGUCAUAGUGAUCCGGUGGUUCUGAAUGGAAGGGCCAUCGCUCAACGGAUAAAAGGUACUCCGGGGAUAACAGGCUGAUACCGCCCAAGAGUUCAUAUCGACGGCGGUGUUUGGCACCUCGAUGUCGGCUCAUCACAUCCUGGGGCUGAAGUAGGUCCCAAGGGUAUGGCUGUUCGCCAUUUAAAGUGGUACGCGAGCUGGGUUUAGAACGUCGUGAGACAGUUCGGUCCCUAUCUGCCGUGGGCGCUGGAGAACUGAGGGGGGCUGCUCCUAGUACGAGAGGACCGGAGUGGACGCAUCACUGGUGUUCGGGUUGUCAUGCCAAUGGCACUGCCCGGUAGCUAAAUGCGGAAGAGAUAAGUGCUGAAAGCAUCUAAGCACGAAACUUGCCCCGAGAUGAGUUCU